Molecule: ribosomal RNA, 253 nt
Filed under: uncultured bacterium
Lineage: Bacteria
Description: partial 16S ribosomal RNA
Rfam family: Bacterial small subunit ribosomal RNA
Source: RNAcentral
UACGUAGGGGGCAAGCGUUGUCCGGAUUUAUUGGGCGUAAAGAGCGUGUAGGCGGCCAAGCAGGUCCGCUGUGAAAACUCGAGGCUCAACCUCGAGACGUCGGUGGAAACCGUGUGGCUAGAGUCCGGAAGAGGAGAGUGGAAUUCCUGGUGUAGCGGUGAAAUGCGCAGAUAUCGGGAAGAACACCCGUGGCGAAGGCGGCUCUCUGGGACGGUACUGACGCUGAGACGCGAAAGCGUGGGGAGCGAACAGG